RNAcentral lists this ribosomal RNA (370 nucleotides) under uncultured soil bacterium. Its description in RNAcentral is "bacterial SSU rRNA". It matches the Rfam family "Bacterial small subunit ribosomal RNA", at positions 26 to 394 of the family's 1533-position model. The record is from RNAcentral.
AGAUUGAACGCUGGCGGCAUGCUUUACACAUGCAAGUCGAACGGUAACAGGCCGCAAGGUGCUGACGAGUGGCGAACGGGUGAGUAAUGUAUCGGAACGUGCCCAGUCGUGGGGGAUAACGCAGCGAAAGCUGCGCUAAUACCGCAUACGAUCUAUGGAUGAAAGCGGGGGACCGUAAGGCCUCGCGCGAUUGGAGCGGCCGAUAUCAGAUUAGGUAGGUUGGUGGGGUAAAGGCUCACCAAGCCAACGAUCUGUAGCUGGUCUGAGAGGACGACCAGCCAACACUGGGACUGAGACACGGCCAGACCUCCGUACGGGACGCAGCAGGUGGGUAAUUUUGGACAAGUGGGCGACAAGCCUGAUCCAGCAA